CCAAUAGCGUAUAUUAAGGUUGUUGCAGUUAAAAAGCUCGUAGUUGAAUUUCGGGAUCAAUACGUCGGUCGUGCUUUCGGGUACGUACUGGCGUCAUUGGUUUCUCCUUUCUGACGAACCAUGAUGUCAUUAAUUUGGUGUUAUGGGGAGUUAGGACUGUUACUUUGAAAAAAUUAGAGUGUUUAAAGCAGGCAUUAGCUUGAAUACAUUAGCAUGGAAUAAUGAAAUAGGACGUUCGAUCCUAUUUUGUUGGUUUCUAGGAUCAACGUAAUGAUUAAUAGGGAUAGUUGGGGGCAUUAGUAUUCAAUUGUCAGAGGUGAAAUUCUUGGAUUUAUUGAAGACUAACUACUGCGAAAGCAUUUGCCAAGGAUGUUUUCAUUAAUCAAGAACGAAAGUUAGGGGAUCGAAGACGAUCAGAUACCGUCGUAGUCUUAACCAUAAACUAUGCCGACUAGGGAUCGGAUGAUGUUAAUUUUUUAAUGACUCAUUCGGCGCCUUACG
Molecule: ribosomal RNA, 501 nt
Filed under: uncultured Glomeromycotina
Lineage: Eukaryota; Fungi; Glomeromycota
Description: partial small subunit ribosomal RNA
Rfam family: Eukaryotic small subunit ribosomal RNA
Source: RNAcentral